ACUGGCAGAUUAUUGCAAAAAGGGCACGGGGCAGAGGGACUAUGUUGUGAGCCUGGGAAAGAAGUUUGUGUGGGGACUGUGGGCAGUGAACGCGUUGGGAACAAUAUGGAAAACUGGGAGCUGCCUUGGAAUCUACAGGGCCGGAGAGACCGAGGGGCUCACUAGGUUGACCAGGCUGGUCUUGAACUCCUGGUCUCAAGCCAUCCUCCCACCUCAGCCUCCCAAAGUGCUGGGAUUACAUGCAUGAGCCACCACAUCCAGCCUACCUAAAAUAUUGAAUGCUGUUAAUAAAUCUCCUGAGGCCAGCAUAAGAAGGUGAUGGGCAAAACUAAUGCAGUAGGAGCUGAAAUCGACCAGGGGGUUCUUAUCCAACAGACAGCAGCAAAACUCUUUGUGUAUCUGCGUUCCUUUCAACAAGCGUGACUUCCUCAAUGGCAUCAUUCGUGAGCGUAACACAGAGCUCAGCAAUAACGUUUCUUCACUAACCCUACCAGGGUUUCAGUUGUGCAAUUUCACCAUUAGCAAAGCUUUUUGCUGAAAUCUGGCUUUUCAAAGGGAGAGUAUCCAGAAACAGAAGAUGCUGAUCUGGGAGGCUCUUCCUAAUAGAACUGCUGCUUCAGUUUAACUUGAAAAAGCCCACACCCAGUUCCUAAUGACAAACAUCUGAACACCGGGUCUUCCCCUGAGCAAGACCAUGCUAUGCCUCCUGCUCGCUCUGUUCUAUAAGCAACCCACAGAUUGCUCCCUGUGAAGAGGAGCCUGCCAGGGGAGCAGCAUUCCACCAGACCCUGAUUUAGCAAGAUAUUUCCGUAUCAUUCCCCCAACCAGCUGGAAGUCCUCCACUGCUCUUGUGUAAAAAUCUAACUCAUCUCGCUGAA
RNAcentral lists this long non-coding RNA (878 nucleotides) under Pan troglodytes (chimpanzee). Its description in RNAcentral is "lincRNA". Lineage: Eukaryota; Metazoa; Chordata; Mammalia; Primates; Hominidae. The record is from RNAcentral.